CCUAGCGGCUGUAGCGCGGUGGUCCCACCUGACCCCAUGCCGAACUCAGAAGUGAAACGCCGUAGCGCCGAUGGUAGUGUGGGGUCUCCCCAUGCGAGAGUAGGGAACUGCCAGGC
This 116-nucleotide ribosomal RNA is filed under the name Citrobacter freundii. Lineage: Bacteria; Pseudomonadati; Pseudomonadota; Gammaproteobacteria; Enterobacterales; Enterobacteriaceae. The record is from RNAcentral.